This 453-nucleotide small RNA is filed under the name Arabidopsis thaliana (thale cress). RNAcentral describes it as "ATSL282170". Lineage: Eukaryota; Viridiplantae; Streptophyta; Magnoliopsida; Brassicales; Brassicaceae. The record is from RNAcentral.
UGAGUUUUAUUACUUACUGAUUGAUUUAGUUUGUUGAUCCAUGUUUGAAGCUAACUAGAUUUUAACCCGCGGUACACCGCGGAGACAAUUUAUCUUUUUAAAGUUAGUAUAUUUUUUUUUUGCAAAUUGUAUCUAUCUAUAAUAUAUUUUUAUUUUAUAGUUUACAAUUGUUAUUAAGUAACGUCCUGCCAAACCCGUCCCGCCAAACCCGUCCCGCCAAACCCGUCCCGUAAAAAAACCAUUUAUUUAUAUUAAUGUUGAUCUUAUUUAUGAUAUGUUUAUAAAUCAUUGUCUAUAUAUUUUUGUCGAUGCGGGACGUUGAACCCACACAUUUUUUGCCAAUUGGUUAAUAUAUGUUCAUUUUUAACAUUUUGAAUCAUACAAUAUGACGGAAAAAAUUAAGAUUUUUUUAAACUCUAUAUAUUAUAUAAUGAUGUUAAAAAUUGUGAUAUA